CGGAGGAUCAUUAUUGAAAUAAACCUGAUGGGUUGUUGCUGGUUCUCUAGGGAGCAUGUGCACACCUUGUCAUCUUUAUAUCUCCACCUGUGCACUUUUUGUAGACCUUUCAGGUCUAUGUUGCUUCAUUUACCCCAAUGUAUGUUAAUAGAAUGUUGUGACUAUAUAAUAUAUACAACUUUCAGCAACGGAUCUCUUGGCUCUCGCAUCGAUGAAGAACGCAGCGAAAUGCGAUAAGUAAUGUGAAUUGCAGAAUUCAGUGAAUCAUCGAAUCUUUGAACGCACCUUGCGCUCCUUGGUAUUCCGAGGAGCAUGCCUGUUUGAGUGUCAUUAAUAUAUCAACUUCUCUUAUUUGAGUUGUUUGGAUGUGGGGGUUUGCUGGACUCUUAAAUGAUUCAGCUCCCCUAAAAUGCAUUAGCAGAACAACCUGUUCAUUGGCGUGAUAAUUAUCUAUGCUAUUGAAUGUGAGGGCAGUUCAGCUUUCUAAUCGUCCUUGGACAAUUUAUCAUUAAUGUGACCUCAAAUCAGGUAGGACUACCCGCUGAACUUAAGCAUAUCAAUA
Molecule: ribosomal RNA, 562 nt
Filed under: uncultured fungus
Lineage: Eukaryota; Fungi
Description: eukaryotic LSU rRNA
Rfam family: 5.8S ribosomal RNA (bases 177-330)
Source: RNAcentral